RNAcentral lists this ribosomal RNA (368 nucleotides) under uncultured archaeon. RNAcentral describes it as "bacterial SSU rRNA". It matches the Rfam family "Archaeal small subunit ribosomal RNA", at positions 492 to 859 of the family's 1478-position model. The record is from RNAcentral.
UAGCAAUUUUUAUUGGGCCUAAAGCGUCCGUAGCCGGUUUAAUAAGUCUCUGGUGAAAUCCUGUAGCUUAACUGUGGGAAUUGCUGGAGAUACUAUUAGACUUGAGACCGGGAGAGGUUGGAGGUACUCCCAGGGUAGAGGUGAAAUUCUGUAAUCCUGGGAGGACCGCCUGUUGCGAAGGCGUCUAACUGGAACGGUUCUGACGGUGAGGGACGAAAGUUAGGGGCGCGAACCGGAUUAGAUACCCGGGUAGUCCUAACUGUAAACGAUGCGGACUUGGUGUUGGGGUGGCUUUGAGCUGCUCCAGUGCCGAAGGGAAGCUGUUAAGUCCGCCGCCUGGGAAGUACGGUCGCAAGACUGAAACUUAA